CCUACGGGAGGCAGCAGUAGGGAAUCUUUCACAAUGGGCGAAAGCCUGAUGGAGCAACGCCGCGUGCAGGAUGAAGGCCUUCGGGUUGUAAACUGCUUUUAUAAGCGAGAAAUAUGAUGGUAACUUAUGAAUAAGGAUCGGCUAACUACGUGCCAGCAGCCGCGGUCAUACGUAGGAUCCGAGCAUUAUCCGGAGUGACUGGGUGUAAAGAGUUGCGUAGGUGGCAUAAUAAGUAGCUAGUGAAAUCUGGUGGCUCAACCAUUCAGACUAUUAGCUAAACUGUUAAGCUCGAGACCGUUAGGGGUAACUGGAAUUUCUAGUGUAGGAGUGAAAUCCGUAGAUAUUAGAAGGAACACUAAUAGCGUAGGCAGGUUGCUGGGACGGUUCUGACACUAAGGCACGAAAGCGUAGGGAGCAAACGGGAUUAGAUACCCGUGUAGUC
RNAcentral lists this ribosomal RNA (442 nucleotides) under uncultured bacterium. RNAcentral describes it as "partial 16S ribosomal RNA". It matches the Rfam family "Bacterial small subunit ribosomal RNA", at positions 338 to 795 of the family's 1533-position model. The record is from RNAcentral.